UCUAACAUGUGCGCGAGUCAUUGGGAUUUUGUAAACCUAAAGGCGCAAUGAAAGUGAAGGUCUUCCCUUAGCGUUGACCGAGGGAGGAUGGCUCGCGUCACGAUGCGAGCCCGCACUCCCGGGGCGUCUCGUGCUCAUUGCGAGCAGAGGCGCACCCAGAGCGUACACGUUGGGACCCGAAAGAUGGUGAACUAUGCCUGGUCAGGACGAAGUCAGGGGAAACCCUGAUGGAGGUCCGUAGCGAUUCUGACGUGCAAAUCGAUCGUCGGAACUGGGUAUAGGGGCGAAAGACUAAUCGAACCAUCUAGUAGCUGGUUCCCUCCGAAGUUUCCCUCAGGAUAGCUGGCACUCGCUUGAGCGAGUCUCAUCUGGUAAAGCGAAUGAUUAGAGGCCUUGGGGCCGAAACGACCUCAACCUAUUCUCAAACUUUAAAUGGGUGAGAUCUCUGGCUUGCUUGAACGUUGAAGCCACGAGAAUAAUCAUGGAUCAGAGUGCCAAGUGGGCCAAUUU
This 510-nucleotide ribosomal RNA is filed under the name Microdontomerus cf. korneyevi PJAN1291. Its description in RNAcentral is "LSU rRNA". It matches the Rfam family "Eukaryotic large subunit ribosomal RNA", at positions 674 to 1137 of the family's 3401-position model. Lineage: Eukaryota; Metazoa; Arthropoda; Insecta; Hymenoptera; Torymidae. The record is from RNAcentral.